This is a non-coding RNA of Nematostella vectensis (starlet sea anemone), 73 nucleotides long. NCBI's taxonomy places the organism in Eukaryota, Metazoa, Cnidaria, Anthozoa, Actiniaria, Edwardsiidae. The record is from Rfam.
GUUUCCGUAGUGUAGUGGUUAUCACGUCUGCUUUACACGCAGAAGGUCCACAGCUCGAACCUGGGCGGAAACA